GCCUGUGAUGUCUGCACCGGGAGAAAACUGAAAGCCUGAGGAUCCUGAAGAAGGUGUCGCUUACGCCUCCGUCAGCUACACCAAGAAUUGUAACAGCAAAGUCAAGGCUGAUGAUGACGAUGAAGGUGAAGCUGUGACGUACAGCACUGUGAGAGUUUCCUCCCCUGGUGCUGAAGCCUCCGUUGAUCC
This is a long non-coding RNA of Labrus bergylta (ballan wrasse), 189 nucleotides long. RefSeq lists it as uncharacterized. Lineage: Eukaryota; Metazoa; Chordata; Actinopteri; Labriformes; Labridae. The record is from RefSeq and is a predicted model, not a curated record.